This 394-nucleotide ribosomal RNA is filed under the name uncultured bacterium. RNAcentral's name for it is "bacterial SSU rRNA". It matches the Rfam family "Bacterial small subunit ribosomal RNA", at positions 30 to 403 of the family's 1533-position model. The record is from RNAcentral.
AUUGAACGCUGGCGGCAUGCCUUACACAUGCAAGUCGAACGGCAGCACGGGACUCGGGCAACUGAGCCCUGGUGGCGAGUGGCGAACGGGUGAGUAAUGCAUCGGAACGUGCCCAGUAGUGGGGGAUAACUAGUCGAAAGAUUAGGCUAAUACCGCAUACGACCUAUGGGUGAAAGCGGGGGAUUUUCGGGCAACCGAGAACCUCGCGCUAUCGGAGCGGCCGAUGUCNGAUUAGCUAGUUGGCGGGGUAAAAGCCCACCAAGGCUUCGAUCAGUAGCUGGUCUGAGAGGACGACCAGCCACACUGGGACUGAGACACGGCCCAGACUCCUACGGGAGGCAGCAGUGGGGAAUUUUGGACAAUGGGCGCAAGCCUGAUCCAGCCAUGCCGCGUG